Molecule: long non-coding RNA, 184 nt
Organism: Trichoplusia ni (cabbage looper)
Lineage: Eukaryota; Metazoa; Arthropoda; Insecta; Lepidoptera; Noctuidae
Exons: 2
Source: RefSeq, a predicted model, not a curated record
AGUUGCAGGGGAACAACAACUCCUGCCCGCCUUGGUGGAUCCAUUUGUUUGACACUGCAAGAAUUCAAUAUGGUUAAAGCUGAUGGAAGAAAUCUCAAGGACGCGUAGUGGUUUCAAUUAUAGAAUCGAAGAUAAACUUCUAAUUUUGCAUUUACAAAGACGUAAAAUAUAAUAUUUUGACGUG